GACGAACGCUGGCGGCGUGCCUAAUACAUGCAAGUAGAACGCUGAGGACUGGUGCUUGCACUGGUCUAAGGAGUUGCGAACGGGUGAGUAACGCGUAGGUAACCUACCUCAUAGAGGGGGACAACAGCUGGAAACGGCUGCUAAUACCGCAUAACGCAAGAGGGAGGCAUCUUCUUCUUGCCAAAGAUUUAUCGCUGAAGGAUGAGCUCACGUCUGAUUAGAUAGUUGGUGGGGUAACGGCCUACCAAGUCGACGAUCAGUAGCCGGACUGAGAGGUUGAUCGGCCACAUUGGGACUGAGAUACGGCCCAG
This 311-nucleotide ribosomal RNA is filed under the name uncultured bacterium. RNAcentral describes it as "bacterial SSU rRNA". It matches the Rfam family "Bacterial small subunit ribosomal RNA", at positions 28 to 334 of the family's 1533-position model. The record is from RNAcentral.